UAUUAUUGUUGUUAAUCUCUUACUGUGCCUGAUUCAUAAAUUAAACUUUAUCAUAGGCAUCAAUGUAUAGGAAAAAACAUGGUAUAUACAGGGUUUGGGACUGCCAAGGCGCCAGACAUCCACAGAGGGUCUUGAGACGCGUCCCCUGUGAGAAGGGGGGCCUACUGCAUCUUUCCUCCUUCCCCGAGAGUGUCUUCUUCCAGCCGGCAAGGAGUUGAGUGAAAAGCCUGGGGCUCCCAGGUCCCACUGGACUGAGGUCUGAAGAACGAGGGCCACGGGGAGUGCAAACCCUGCAGAAAGCGAUGCACCCCCAGAACGAAUCCACCCUGCUGAGGCCUGAUUGACGUGCAGUCGACGCACCCGUGGUAGCACAGAGGCCAGCGAGCCUUGACAACGGCCGGACCUGUGUGACCAGCACUGAAACCAACACUCAGAACGCGUCUGUCACCCAGGGAGCCCCCGGGCCCUUUGCGGGGGAUCCUGCUCGUUCUCGUGGCCCCAGGCAGCUGAUGGCGUGCUUGCUGUCACUGCAGAUUAGUUUGCAUUUUCUAGAAUCUCCUCCGAAUGGGUCCUGCGGCGUGUGCUCUCCAUUCGUCUGCUUCUUCCCUCAGCAUUAUUAGGUAGAGGCUCGUCCAGGUGCCGGUGUAUCUCUAGUUCACCCUUUCUACUGCUGAGUAGCGAUCCGUGGUGUGGACGGACCAGAGUUGUUUAUUCACUCACCUGUUGACAGACUCUUAAGUCGCCUCCAGUUUGGGGCUGUUGCAAACGGUGCUGCUAUGGACAUUUGUGCGUGAGUCUUUGUGUGGACAUAUUUUGUUUCUCUUGGGUAAUAACGAUGGAAGCCAGCGGCGGCGUCAUACGGCAUGAUAGCUAUUAACUCGAUAAGAAGCUGCCAGCGAUUUCCCAAAGUGCCUGCCCCAGUUACGUUCCCACCCAGCGUGUGAGCGUUCCGGUUGCUCCGCAUCCUCCCCAGCACUGGUGGUGUCGGUCUUCUAAAUGUUAGCCAUUCUGAUAGGUGGUAGUGGUGUGUUACUGUGAUUUUAUUUUGCAUUAUCCUGUGACUAGUGACCUUUCACAUCUUUUUAUGUGCUUAUUGGCCUUUCUACUUUUCAACUUUAUUUAAAUCUUUGCCCAUAUUUAACUGGGUUUUUCAAUUCCUAUUAUUGAGUUGUAGGAGUUCUUUAUAUAUUCUGCAUAUGUUUCUUUGUCACAUGUGUGUGUGUGUAUAUAAUAAAUAUGUACAUAUGUGCACCUAUAGUGUAUACAUGUACAUACACAUGUAUGUGAUGUAGAUAAAUGAACACACGCACAUACACAUAUAUAUACAUGUAUGCAUGUGUGCACACACACACACACGGAAUAUGGCCCAUCUGUGGCUUGCCUUUCACUUGAAGAGUGAAGUUGAAGAUUUUAAUUUUUAUGAAGUCCACCUUAUCAUUUUCUCUUUUAUGGUUAGUGCUUCUUGUUAUUGCUUCAUUGAUCUCCUCCAUCAAUGUCCGGGAUACCCCCUAUGGCCCUCUCUGGAAGUUUUGUACGUCUAGCUUCUAUGUCUAAAUCUAUGAUCCCCUUUGGGGUCAUUUUCGCCUAGGAUUUGGGAUAGCACCUGAGGUUUAUUUUUUCUCUGUAGAUGUCCAGUUGUUCCAGCACCAUUUAUUGAAAAGAUUGUCCUUUGUCCCCAUUGAAUUAAUUUGGCACAUUUGUCAGAAAUCAAGUCACAUAAAUGUAAGGGCCUACCCCUGGACCCUGUUCUGUUCUGUUGAUGUUUAUGUCUAUCUGCUGGCUAUGCCAUACUGUUGAUUAUUUUUCUUAUUAUAUUAAGUCUUGAUGAAAUUGGGUAAUAUAAGUCUUCCAAUUUUGUUCUUCUUUCUCUAAAUUAAUUUUGCUUUUCUAGGUCCUUUGCAUUUCCGUAGAAAUUUUAGACUCGGCUCGUCAAUUUCUGCAAAUUGUAUUGAACCUACAUAUUUGUGUAGAAUUGGUAUUAUUUCUUCCUUAAAUGUUUAAUGGAAUUCAUCAGUGAAGGCAUUUGGAGCUGGAAUCACUCUGUGGGAAGAUUUUAAGUUACAAAUUCAAUUUCUUUAAGAAACUUAGAGCUAUGCAGAUUCCCUAAGUCAUCUGGAUGAGAUUUAAGUUUGUGUCUUUCAAGGCGUCCAUCCAUUCCAUCGGAGUUGUUGGCUUUGUUUCUCUGACAUUCACCACAUUCUCUUAGUAGCAUUUGUAGUAAUGUCUGCAGCAUCUGUAGUAAUGUCUUCUGUUUCACCGAGACUCAUUUUAUUUCCAGUGUGUGGCUCAUCCUGGUGGAAGCUCCGUGUGCCCUGGAGAAGAGUGUGCGUUCCCAUUGUCAAGUGGCCUAUUCUACAAACAUCAUUCAGGUCAUGUUGGGCGACACUGUCUUUUCUGUGAUCUUUUCCUCUUCAUUCCUGAGAAAGGAGUGUUGAGAUCACCGGUUAUACUUGUGGAUUUGUCUGUCUCAUGCAUUAUCUCAGUUUCAUCUUCACGUAUUCUGAAACUCUCUCUUAUCAGGCACACACAUUUUUAGGAUUGCUAAGUCUUGAGGAAUUGACCCUUUUAUCACUGUGAACCGUCCCUCAUUGUCUGUUAGUCUUCCGUGUCUGAAGUCUCCUUUGAUAGUAACAUAGCCUUUCUAGCUUUCUUGUGGGCAGUGGUUGCAUGGCAUAUCUUUCACCCUUUUCACACCGUUAGCCUGUUGUACAUGUAAGGUGGGUUCCUUGUAGAUGGCAUGUAGUUGGAUCUUGGAUUUUCAUCCAGUCCAGCCAUCUCUGCUUUUUAAUGGUGUUUGUCCAUUUAACAUCUAACGUGCUUAAUGACACGGUUGAGAUUGGUCUGCCAUCUUGUUCCUCCUUAUUCCCAAUUUGUCUCUCUCUUCUUUGUUCCUUGUCCUCUUUGCAUGUCUUCUUCUGGGUUGACUGUGUUUGAAUUACUCCGUUUUGUCCCCAGGUAGAGGGGGGUGUGGCACACAUCCCCUCUGUCCACUUCCCACUGGACACGCGGCCACACCUCACAUCAGAGAGGCAGUGGGCUUCAAUGAGGCUGCUCACUUUUACCGUAUUUUGUAGAGCAGUGUUCAUAUAAGAUUUAUUUUUAUGAUAACAACAACAAUAACAACAAAAGUUUAAAAACCACGAACUAAGACAACAGCUUAACUGAUGGAUGUGGCAAUGAAGACUUAGUGAGGAUGGAUAACAGCGGCACGUGCCCCAGGCUCUCCGAGGACCAGCGAGGGCAGGCAUGGGCGGAACGUGGAGCAGGCAACACCAGGCAACGUGAGCUGCUAUUGUUAGUCAUUAUGAAGCUUUUCCCUGACGUUUGCAGCCUGGCUGUGUAUCAGCUCCUGCCAGGCAGGGAUGGCAUGGCCCGGGUCCUCGGGCUGGGGGUUGGCGUUUCAGCCUGGGGUCAGCUGAGCCUGGCUCCCAGCCCUGCUCUCUGGAUGCACCUGCUGUCCGUCUCCUCCGACUGGGCAAUCAGAAGACCCCAAAGAGCAAGUAGGGGAAAGAGGGGACUCUGGAGUCAGGCCAGCUGUCUAAAUGGGCACAGGGGCAGCCUUCCCUAUGCAUGGGCCACUCUCGCCUCCAAGAGGCAGAGGCUCCCGUGGGCAUGCCAGGGCCAGCCAGGGUCUCCCUGUCAGAGUCAGCCCUGGCCCUGGGCCCCUUCUGACAGCGAGCUGGCUCAAAGGCUCGGCUUUCGAGUGGGACUCCCCUGGUGGAGAUUGAUAGCUGGAUGGCGGGGAUAGGGGCCAAGCUGGAAGAGCCUGGAGCCCAGCUGCCCACCAUCCGGGAGCCCUCUAGACACCUGGGGCCACUGGGGGUUCUGCCCACCCUCUCCCGUGCCGGGAGUUGCAGGCAGGCUGCACUGUGGCAUUCUGGGCUGGUGCAUUUAAGACAUUUAAUGGGCGAGUUCCCUCUCCACAUGGGGUAUAAUUAAUUUUCCUGAAAUAGGCAUGACAGCCUGGUCGUCUUUGCCUGUCUGAGUCAGGCGCUGAUUAUUGCCUCUCACGGGCACGGCGUGCAGCGGCCACCGGGAGCUCAGAGCGCCCGCGGCUCCCCACCCUGCUGAGCGGGUGCAGGAGAGAGGUCAGGGGAGGCCAUGGGGCCUCUUGUGGCAGGUCACUUGGGCUGGUGGCCAGUGCGGGUGGGGGCAGUAAGCUUGGAUGCAGCCAUGGAGCUGCCCUCUGUGAACAGAGAGCAAAGCCGGGUCCUGAAGGGGGAAGGGGACACUCCCCUGCACGUAUGCCAGCAAUGGAGGCAGGAGAAAGACCCCCGGGACCAGGUGACGUCAGGGCUGGUCACCGCCUUGGGCUAACCACGGUCAGUAGUGCGUAGUCAGAGCAGCAUGCAAGGAGGGGUGCAGGCAGAGCUGGCAUUCGAGACCCCUGUGCUGAGGUGUUGGGGGGUCACCUCUCCCCUCUCCUGGGCCCUUGGUGGCAGCUGGCCCCGAGCAGCGCCUGCAGAGGGCUCGGGCCUGCCUGGGAGGGAGUGGCCAUCCUGGCGCAGGGAUGGGUGCCGGCAUGGAGGGUGGGUAUGCCAUGUCUCCAGCUGUGGGAGAUGUUGGGCUCGGGCCCCUUCAGAGCAGGGCGGCCCUCUCCAAGGGAGCCCAGGGAGCCUGGUUUUCCCUCCCUCCAUUCCUGGGCUCCUCCUCCGAGCUCAGAGGCCUGGAGCCUCAUCCACUGGGGAGGCUGGAGGCAAAGAGACCUUGUCCCCACAGGGUCGCAGAUGGGGACACUGAGGCCUCAAGGGAUAACCUUGGAGCGCACAAAGCUGACGUCCUGUGGCUGCGCUGGAGCCACAGGCCUGGCAGCUGGCAGGAGGGUCCAGGCAGAGCGUGGGACCCCUGCCCAUCUUCCUUCCCUCUGCUGGGGGACCGAGGUUCUGUGGCCGGAUAACAGCCCGCCCCGAGGGCUCGCUCAGCCCUGGUCCUCUACGCAAGCUCUCUGGUUGUCUCCCGGUCAGCACACCCCGUGGAUGGAGAAACUGAAGGUGACACCCCUUGUCCCAGAACACAUUGGCAGUAAAUGGUGGUGGGUCAUCAUACCCGGUGGCCUGACCCCAGAGCCAACUGCAAAGUGACGGAACUCUUUAAGCCUCCGAGGUAGACCCCCUUUCUCUUUGCCAUCACUGCCCUGUGGGGCCCCUCCCCACAGCCGGGAGACCUUGCCUAAGAGCAGGCAUGCAGUCAGUGGCCGGAACCCCAGGGGGAAGCGAGUCCCUGCAUCUGACGAGACUUCCACAGGCACCUUCUUUGUAAGAAGGAGGGUGCGUGGGCUGCAUUGGGUCCCCCAAGAUGAUGUGUUGAAGUCCCAAACCCGGUGCUUGUGAGUGUGACCUUAUCUGGAAGCUGGGUUUUUGCAGAUGUCAUCAAGUUAAGCUGAGGUCAGCAGGACAGGCCCCAAAUCCGAUAGGACUGGAGUCCUUGUAAGGAGAGGGAGUUCUGGAUAUACGGAGAGGGGAGAAGGACGCGUGAGGACUGUGAAGGUGGAGGCAGAGAGUGGCUGCCACAAGCCAAGGAGCGCCUGGGGCCUCCAGAAGCUGCAGAGCUGGGAGAGGCAGGAAGGACCCUCCCCUGGAGCCUCUGGAGGGAGUGCGGCCCUGCGACACCUUGAGCUUGGAUGUCCAGCCUCCAGAAUGUACGAGAAUAAAUGUCUGUUGUUUUAAGCGUC
RNAcentral lists this long non-coding RNA (5671 nucleotides) under Equus caballus (horse). RNAcentral's name for it is "lncRNA (ENSECAG00000056178.1)". The record is from RNAcentral. Lineage: Eukaryota; Metazoa; Chordata; Mammalia; Perissodactyla; Equidae.